UGCAAGUCGAACGGUGAAGCAGAGCUUGCUCUGUGGAUCAGUGGCGAACGGGUGAGUAACACGUGAGCAAUCUGCCCCUGACUCUGGGAUAAGCGCUGGAAACGGCGUCUAAUACCGGAUACGAGCUGCGACCGCAUGGUCAGUAGCUGGAAAGAAUUUCGGUCAGGGAUGAGCUCGCGGCCUAUCAGCUUGUUGGUGAGGUAAUGGCUCACCAAGGCGUCGACGGGUAGCCGGCCUGAGAGGGUGACCGGCCACACUGGGACUGAGACACGGCCCAGACUCCUACGGGAGGCAGCAGUGGGGAAUAUUGCACAAUGGGCGCAAGCCUGAUGCAGCAACGCCGCGUGAGGGAUGACGGCCUUCGGGUUGUAAACCUCUUUUAGCAGGGAAGAAGCGAAAGUGACGGUACCUGCAGAAAAAGCGCCGGCUAACUACGUGCCAGCAGCCGCGGUAAUACGUAGGGCGCAAGCGUUAUCCGGAAUUAUUGGGCGUAAAGAGCUCGUAGGCGGUCUGUCGCGUCUGCUGUGAAAACCCGAGGCUCAACCUCGGGCCUGCAGUGGGUACGGGCAGACUAGAGUGCGGUAGGGGAGAUUGGAAUUCCUGGUGUAGCGGUGGAAUGCGCAGAUAUCAGGAGGAACACCGAUGGCGAAGGCAGAUCUCUGGGCCGUAACUGACGCUGAGGAGCGAAAGGGUGGGGAGCAAACAGGCUUAGAUACCCUGGUAGUCCACCCCGUAAACGUUGGGAACUAGUUGUGGGGUCCAUUCCACGGAUUCCGUGACGCAGCUAACGCAUUAAGUUCCCCGCCUGGGGAGUACGGCCGCAAGGCUAAAACUCAAAGGAAUUGACGGGGACCCGCACAAGCGGCGGAGCAUGCGGAUUAAUUCGAUGCAACGCGAAGAACCUUACCAAGGCUUGACAUAUAGAGGAAACGUCUGGAAACAGUCGCCCCGCAAGGUCUCUAUACAGGUGGUGCAUGGUUGUCGUCAGCUCGUGUCGUGAGAUGUUGGGUUAAGUCCCGCAACGAGCGCAACCCUCGUUCUAUGUUGCCAGCACGUAAUGGUGGGAACUCAUGGGAUACUGCCGGGGUCAACUCGGAGGAAGGUGGGGAUGACGUCAAAUCAUCAUGCCCCUUAUGUCUUGGGCUUCACGCAUGCUACAAUGGCCGGUACAAAGGGCUGCAAUACCGUGAGGUGGAGCGAAUCCCAAAAAGCCGGUCCCAGUUCGGAUUGAGGUCUGCAACUCGACCUCAUGAAGUCGGAGUCGCUAGUAAUCGCAGAUCAGCAACGCUGCGGUGAAUACGUUCCCGGGUCUUGUACACACCGCCCGUCAAGGCAUGAAAGUCGGUAACACCUGAAGCCGGUGGCCCAACC
This 1371-nucleotide ribosomal RNA is filed under the name Microbacterium arborescens. RNAcentral's name for it is "bacterial SSU rRNA". It matches the Rfam family "Bacterial small subunit ribosomal RNA". The record is from RNAcentral. Lineage: Bacteria; Bacillati; Actinomycetota; Actinomycetes; Micrococcales; Microbacteriaceae.